RNAcentral lists this long non-coding RNA (753 nucleotides) under Phasianus colchicus (ring-necked pheasant). RNAcentral's name for it is "lncRNA (ENSPCLG00000011914.1)". The record is from RNAcentral. Lineage: Eukaryota; Metazoa; Chordata; Aves; Galliformes; Phasianidae.
CAGGGAUGUCAUAUUUAGUGUACUAUUUUGCCUUUUCUGUAGGAUUGAGUGUGUCCGUUGCAUUUAGUUAAGGCAAGUAUUUGGAAGAAAUAAGGGGCCAUUCCUUCCCUAUGAGCUAUAGAAAAAAGAGCACAUAGAAGAACCAAAGUGGAGGGAUUUAGAAGAUCCUUCUAGCAAGACUAACCCAGCAGACAGCCAUGGAGUUUCCCAGAGCCUGCUGGGAGCACUGUGACCAAAGGCAUACUUGGGGAACAGGGCUGGUGGAAGCUGUUGGGACAACUCUAUAGCACACGUGCUGGGGCACAGAUAGACAAGUGGAAAAUCGAAGAGGAAGGUUUUGAAGAGAGAAGAGGCAUCACCUGGGUUCUGAGUACAGAAAGAACAGCAGAGGGAGCCCCUGCAUGGCUUAAAUCGUUGGUCUUGAAGAAAAUGGAGCAAGCGCUUGCACAGGGUGCCAAAUCUCUGCCGCCCUCUCUUGAGCCUUUCGCUUGAAGCAGCAGUUGCAGAAGGCACUGACGAGAGCAGCCACCACCAAACACCCAAAUUUCUUAUAGCAACCAACUGAGGUUUACGGCACAGAUGCUGAUAGUGUCAUUCUGGAGUAGCCCACGUUGUGACUGUGGUGUGGGCUGGGCUUAUUGUGAGUGAGAGCAAAGUGCUCUUGUGGAACACCAGGAGAUUUCUUUAAUUACUCUUCUAUAUUUGAAUCUGUUGCAUAUUAAGUAGGCUUUCAUCAUAUGUGUGUGCAUGGCA